GUUUUUUUCUUCAAACGUCAUUAAAUGACAACUUUGUUGUCGUGUUUACUCGCGGUAGAAGUAAGUCAUUGUUGCAUAACGACGGUUGGUAAGAUCAACGUAGCAAAAAAGUACUUCAGCGUUAUGGCGCUAAAGUAAAUUUCACUUUAGCGCCAUAGCGCUGAAGCACAUGUCACUUUAGCGCCGUAUUGGAAACUAUUUUCUAUUACCUUCUUCGCGAUAUCGUUAAUUUCGGACGACAUUUUGUACAAAAUAAAUUUAACUAACAGUUAAAAGUUAAAAUUCGCGCAAAACUGUUUACUUUUUUUUAUUGGUUGUCAAAUUUACGUCGUCGUUGCUAACGUUAUUUUGUCAUGACGUCCUUCGAUUUCUCAUUAAUACAUAAUAAGUUAAUUGUCAUUUUAUUAAAUUUAUUAAAAUUUAUAUUGCAAUUAUUUGCAACGUUUGAAGAAAAAAUACUGUUUUAUUCGGAAGAGAAGCAGAUUCGUUUGUGGCUGGUCCGUCAUUGCCGGACUCACUUCGUUCGUCCGGCAAACUGUCGGACACGCCACAAUUUUAACGGCUCAUCUGUCAUUAGCGACUCACUGCGUUCGUCGCUAAACGACAGACCACGCCAUAAAAAGCACUGCUUCUCUUCCAUAUAAAACAAUAUACUAUUUAUUAAAUUAUAGAAAA
Non-coding RNA from Onthophagus taurus, 675 nucleotides. The record is from RefSeq and is a predicted model, not a curated record. NCBI's taxonomy places the organism in Eukaryota, Metazoa, Arthropoda, Insecta, Coleoptera, Scarabaeidae.